CGUCAAGCUCAGACAUUGAUUGUAUAACCACGGGACAAACACGUGGAGAUGAAUUAGCAAUCGACCCGUGCAAUCAUUCAACAAGAGAGUGCUCUUUCUUUAUUAUUAUUUUUUCUUGUUGAUCUAUUCCGUCGUCAUUUCAUCUUUCCUGUGCUCUUGGAUUGGAUCUCAGGUUCAUCAUACAUCCUGCAGGAAGGCUUCGGGAAGACGUAUCCAAAAUCAUUUGUAUUAAGGUAGAAUUUUCAUGGAUAUGGAUGACACCAGGUGGUUUCGAACGCAGCUUAAAGACCACAAUCUUGAUCUCUCCUCCACCUGGUCUGUUGCAAUUUCCUUGUAAAUUUGUUAUCCAUAUUUUAUUUAUAUGGUAUAUUGAUUUAAAGAGAAGGUUCAGUUUCGUGUUGAUUGGGGGUAAUUGGCAGCAGAUUUCGGAAGCUGCUGGAGGGGUGCUUUUAAAAGCUGCUGUGGACGGAAGAUUUAAUGAAUUUUUCGAUCUUUACAUUUGUUAUUCUUAACCUACAUAAUAAUAGUUUGAUUACUUGCAUAUUAUUCAUUUUUUAAAUUACAAUGUUUGUUAUCUCACACUUUGCUCAUCAUACAAUGCAUUUUUUUCAAAAAAAAAUUGUAUCAAAACAAUAGAUAAUUGACUAAUUGAACAUCUUCUAAAGUUCC
RNAcentral lists this long non-coding RNA (669 nucleotides) under Prunus persica (peach). RNAcentral's name for it is "long non-coding RNA (PPER_LNC002065)". The record is from RNAcentral. Lineage: Eukaryota; Viridiplantae; Streptophyta; Magnoliopsida; Rosales; Rosaceae.